This 529-nucleotide ribosomal RNA is filed under the name uncultured Pseudomonadota bacterium. Its description in RNAcentral is "bacterial SSU rRNA". It matches the Rfam family "Bacterial small subunit ribosomal RNA", at positions 47 to 566 of the family's 1533-position model. Lineage: Bacteria; Pseudomonadati; Pseudomonadota. The record is from RNAcentral.
CCUAACACAUGCAAGUCGAACGGUAACAGGAAGAAGCUUGCUUCUUUGCUGACGAGUGGCGGACGGGUGAGUAAUGUCUGGGAAACUGCCUGAUGGAGGGGGAUAACUACUGGAAACGGUAGCUAAUACCGCAUAACGUCGCAAGACCAAAGAGGGGGCCUUCGGGCCUCUUGCCAUCGGAUGUGCCCAGAUGGGAUUAGCUAGUAGGUGGGGUAACGGCUCACCUAGGCGACGAUCCCUAGCUGGUCUGAGAGGAUGACCAGCCACACUGGAACUGAGACACGGUCCAGACUCCUACGGGAGGCAGCAGUGGGGAAUAUUGCACAAUGGGCGCAAGCCUGAUGCAGCCAUGCCGCGUGUAUGAAGAAGGCCUUCGGGUUGUAAAGUACUUUCAGCGGGGAGGAAGGGAGUAAAGUUAAUACCUUUGCUCAUUGACGUUACCCGCAGAAGAAGCACCGGCUAACUCCGUGCCAGCAGCCGCGGUAAUACGGAGGGUGCAAGCGUGAAUCGGACUUACUGGGCGUAAAGC